CGACAGUUUGCGAAUAGUAGUGCAUAAUGUUGGAAAGAAAGUGAAUUUUGUGCAUCGUUUCGCAGCAUAAGUGCAAUAUAGUUUCAAGAUCUGCUUGGACAACCUUAGGAUCACUGUCGAUGGAUAUUACGUUGCUUGCUACGAAAGAGUUGGGAUUGUUGCGAUACAAGAGCGUGACUUUCGACCGAACCGAAAGAGAUUAGGAAAUCUCUAAAUCGACGAAGUGACCACGCCGUGGAGGGACGAAGCUGAUUUUCCGAAAAGUGGACGAAAAGUGGACGGUCAUGAAGUUUGGGAUCACAAGCCCUCUUAAAGGCAAAU
Long non-coding RNA from Hylaeus volcanicus, 321 nucleotides. RefSeq lists it as uncharacterized. The record is from RefSeq and is a predicted model, not a curated record. Lineage: Eukaryota; Metazoa; Arthropoda; Insecta; Hymenoptera; Colletidae. The transcript is spliced from 2 exons.